RNAcentral lists this ribosomal RNA (497 nucleotides) under uncultured bacterium. RNAcentral describes it as "partial 16S ribosomal RNA". It matches the Rfam family "Bacterial small subunit ribosomal RNA", at positions 28 to 507 of the family's 1533-position model. The record is from RNAcentral.
GAUGAACGCUGGCGGCGUGCCUAAUACAUGCAAGUCGAGCGAACGGACGAGAAGCUUGCUUCUCUGAUGUUAGCGGCGGACGGGUGAGUAACACGUGGAUAACCUACCUAUAAGACUGGUAUAACUUCGGGAAACCGGAGCUAAUACCGGAUAAUAUUCUGAACCGCAUGGUUCAAAAGUGAAAGACGGUCUUGCUGUCACUUAUAGAUGGAUCCGCGCUGCAUUAGCUAGUUGGUAAGGUAACGGCUUACCAAGGCAACGAUGCAUAGCCGACCUGAGAGGGUGAUAGGCGACACUGGAACUGAGACACGGUCCAGACUCCUACGGGAGGCAGCAGUAGGGAAUCUUCCGCAAUGGGCGAAAGCCUGACGGAGCAACGCCGCGUGAGUGAUAAAGGUCUUCGGAGCGUAAAACUCUGUUAUUAGGGAAGAACAUAUGUGUAAGUAACUGUGCACAUCUUGACGGUACCUAAUCAGAAAGCCACGGCUAACUACGUG